UUUCAAUAAAAAUAUUUUACUCCAAGACUUGAGAGAAUGAUGUGCAGAUGAAAAAAGGCUUGGUCCCUGUUGAUCUGUGUGCUAUUUCUACAAAGCACUGUUAGUAAUAAAUUAUGCUUUCUUGUUUUGGUUGGC
Long non-coding RNA from Melanotaenia boesemani (Boeseman's rainbowfish), 135 nucleotides. RefSeq lists it as uncharacterized. NCBI's taxonomy places the organism in Eukaryota, Metazoa, Chordata, Actinopteri, Atheriniformes, Melanotaeniidae. The record is from RefSeq and is a predicted model, not a curated record. The transcript has 3 exons.